RNAcentral lists this ribosomal RNA (762 nucleotides) under uncultured Peptostreptococcus sp. RNAcentral's name for it is "bacterial SSU rRNA". It matches the Rfam family "Bacterial small subunit ribosomal RNA", at positions 28 to 776 of the family's 1533-position model. The record is from RNAcentral. Lineage: Bacteria; Bacillati; Bacillota; Clostridia; Peptostreptococcales; Peptostreptococcaceae.
GAUGAACGCGGGCGGCGUGCCUAACACAUGCAAGUCGAGCGAGGGUUUGCUCAGUAUUGAGUAUUCUAAGUCUAGAAUGUUCAAUUCUGAGCAAAACCAAGCGGCGGACGGGUGAGUAACGCGUGGGUAACCUGCCCUAUACACAUGGAUAACAUACUGAAAAGUUUACUAAUACAUGAUAAUAUAUAUCUGCGGCAUCGCAGAUAUAUCAAAGUGUUAGCGGUAUAGGAUGGACCCGCGUCUGAUUAGCUAGUUGGUGAGAUAACUGCCCACCAAGGCGACGAUCAGUAGCCGACCUGAGAGGGUGAUCGGCCACAUUGGAACUGAGACACGGUCCAAACUCCUACGGGAGGCAGCAGUGGGGAAUAUUGCACAAUGGGCGAAAGCCUGAUGCAGCAACGCCGCGUGAGCGAUGAAGGUCUUCGGAUCGUAAAGUUCUGUUGCAGGGGAAGAUAAUGACGGUACCCUGUGAGGAAGCCCCGGCUAACUACGUGCCAGCAGCCGCGGUAAUACGUAGGGGGCUAGCGUUAUCCGGAUUUACUGGGCGUAAAGGGUGCGUAGGUGGUCCUUCGAGUCGGUGGUUAAAGGCUACGGCUCAACCGUAGUAAGCCGCCGAAACUGGAGGACUUGAGUGCAGGAGAGGAAAGUGGAAUUCCCAGUGUAGCGGUGAAAUGCGUAGAUAUUGGGAGGAACACCAGUAGCGAAGGCGGCUUUCUGGACUGCAACUGACACUGAGGCACGAAAGCGUGGGUAGCAAACAGG